AGUGAACGCUGGCGGUAGGCCUAACAUAUGCAAGUCGAACGGCAGCACAGGAGAGCUUGCUCUCUGGGUGGCGAGUGGCGGACGGGUGAGGAAUACAUCGGAAUCUGCCCAGUCGUGGGGGAUAACGUAGGGAAACUUACGCUAAUACCGCAUACGACCUUCGGGUGAAAGAGGGGGAUCGCAAGACCUCUCGCGAUUGGAUGAGCCGAUGUCGGAUUAGCUAGUUGGCGGGGUAAUGGCCCACCAAGGCGACGAUCCGUAGCUGGUCUGAGAGGAUGAUCAGCCACACUGGAACUGAGACACGGUCCAGACUCCUACGGGAGGCAGCAGUGGGGAAUAUUGGACAAUGGGCGCAAGCCUGAUCCAGCCAUACCGCGUGGGUGAAGAAGGCCUUCGGGUUGUAAAGCCCUUUUGUUGGGAAAGAAAUCUUUCAGGCUAAUACCCUGGGAGGAUGACGGUACCCAAAGAAUAAGCACCGGCUAACUUCGUG
This 490-nucleotide ribosomal RNA is filed under the name uncultured bacterium. Its description in RNAcentral is "partial 16S ribosomal RNA". It matches the Rfam family "Bacterial small subunit ribosomal RNA", at positions 29 to 507 of the family's 1533-position model. The record is from RNAcentral.